ACUAACUAGGUAUGUGCGAAUACGGGGCAUUGCGAGCGCUGGUUUUGGUGGCACGGUUUUCGCGCAGGUUUUGGUGUGAGUGGCAUCGCCUCUGUCUGGGCGGCUUGUCGAAAAUGGGGUUUAAUGCGCAUGUGCACAUAGUAGAUGCAAUCUCGUGCCUUUUAACAGACAGCUGAAGAUGUGCUCUUUCUGUACAUAUAACUAAGUUUCAAUGUGGAUACUGGCCUGUAAAGUGUGGAUAUCGGAGCUUGAAAGUUCAUCAAAUUUUUGGACGCGUAAAUGUUCGAAAAUUUUUUAUGGUAAGUAAAAAUAAGUACCGAUUAGGUAUAAAAAUUAGCUCUAAAUAUAUUUAAAUUAUUAAAAAAUCCAAAAUCACGCCAUUCUGACAUUGCGCAGUCCAGAUAUAAGAGAUGCCAGCUACCCUUGUCACAGCCGGUCUCUCGGCAGUCGAGC
Lytechinus variegatus (green sea urchin) is the source of this 453-nucleotide long non-coding RNA. RefSeq lists it as uncharacterized. The transcript has 3 exons. The record is from RefSeq and is a predicted model, not a curated record. NCBI's taxonomy places the organism in Eukaryota, Metazoa, Echinodermata, Echinoidea, Temnopleuroida, Toxopneustidae.